Molecule: ribosomal RNA, 382 nt
Filed under: uncultured Bacteroides sp.
Lineage: Bacteria; Pseudomonadati; Bacteroidota; Bacteroidia; Bacteroidales; Bacteroidaceae
Description: bacterial SSU rRNA
Rfam family: Bacterial small subunit ribosomal RNA
Source: RNAcentral
GCUCAGGAUGAACGCUAGCUACAGGCUUAACACAUGCAAGUCGAGGGGCAGCGGGAUUGAAGCUUGCUUCAAUUGCCGGCGACCGGCGCACGGGUGAGUAACGCGUAUCCAACCUUCCGCUUACUCGGGGAUAGCCUUUCGAAAGAAAGAUUAAUACCCGAUGGUAUCUUAAGCACGCAUGAGAUUAAGAUUAAAGAUUUAUCGGUAAGCGAUGGGGAUGCGUUCCAUUAGGCAGUUGGCGGGGUAACGGCCCACCAAACCUACGAUGGAUAGGGGUUCUGAGAGGAAGGUCCCCCACAUUGGAACUGAGACACGGUCCAAACUCCUACGGGAGGCAGCAGUGAGGAAUAUUGGUCAAUGGGCGAGAGCCUGAACCAGCCAA